RNAcentral lists this ribosomal RNA (1343 nucleotides) under uncultured bacterium. RNAcentral's name for it is "16S ribosomal RNA". It matches the Rfam family "Bacterial small subunit ribosomal RNA", at positions 28 to 1378 of the family's 1533-position model. The record is from RNAcentral.
GACGAACGCUGGCGGCGUGCUUAACACAUGCAAGUCGAACGGAAAGGCCCUGCUUUUGUGGGGUGCUCGAGUGGCGAACGGGUGAGUAACACGUGAGUAACCUGCCCUUGACUUUGGGAUAACUUCAGGAAACUGGGGCUAAUACCGGAUAGGAGCUCCUGCUGCAUGGUGGGGGUUGGAAAGUUUCGGCGGUUGGGGAUGGACUCGCGGCUUAUCAGCUUGUUGGUGGGGUAGUGGCUUACCAAGGCUUUGACGGGUAGCCGGCCUGAGAGGGUGACCGGCCACAUUGGGACUGAGAUACGGCCCAGACUCCUACGGGAGGCAGCAGUGGGGAAUAUUGCACAAUGGGCGGAAGCCUGAUGCAGCAACGCCGCGUGCGGGAUGACGGCCUUCGGGUUGUAAACCGCUUUCGCCUGUGACGAAGCGUGAGUGACGGUAAUGGGUAAAGAAGCACCGGCUAACUACGUGCCAGCAGCCGCGGUGAUACGUAGGGUGCGAGCGUUGUCCGGAUUUAUUGGGCGUAAAGGGCUCGUAGGUGGUUGAUCGCGUCGGAAGUGUAAUCUUGGGGCUUAACCCUGAGCGUGCUUUCGAUACGGGUUGACUUGAGGAAGGUAGGGGAGAAUGGAAUUCCUGGUGGAGCGGUGGAAUGCGCAGAUAUCAGGAGGAACACCAGUGGCGAAGGCGGUUCUCUGGGCCUUUCCUGACGCUGAAGAGCGAAAGCGUGGGGAGCGAACAGGCUUAGAUACCCUGGUAGUCCACGCUGUAAACGGUGGGUACUAGGUGUGGGGUCCAUUCCACGGGUUCCGUGCCGUAGCUAACGCUUUAAGUACCCCGCCUGGGGAGUACGGCCGCAAGGCUAAAACUCAAAGGAAUUGACGGGGCCCCGCACAAGCGGCGGAGCAUGCGGAUUAAUUCGAUGCAACGCGUAGAACCUUACCUGGGUUUGACAUGGAUCGGGAGUGCUCAGAGAUGGGUGUGCCUCUUUUGGGGUCGGUUCACAGGUGGUGCAUGGCUGUCGUCAGCUCGUGUCGUGAGAUGUUGGGUUAAGUCCCGCAACGAGCGCAACCCUUGUUCACUGUUGCCAGCACGUUAUGGUGGGGACUCAGUGGAGACCGCCGGGGUCAACUCGGAGGAAGGUGGGGAUGACGUCAAGUCAUCAUGCCCCUUAUGUCCAGGGCUUCACGCAUGCUACAAUGGCUGGUACAGAGAGUGGCGAGCCUGUGAGGGUGAGCGAAUCUCGGAAAGCCGGUCUCAGUUCGGAUUGGGGUCUGCAACUCGACCUCGUGAAGUCGGAGUCGCUAGUAAUCGCAGAUCAGCAACGCUGCGGUGAAUACGUUCCCGGG